GUGGAUUAGAUACCCUGGUUGUCCACGCCGUAAACGGUGGGCGCUAGGUGUGGGUUCCUUCCACGGGAUCUGUGCCGUAGCUAACGCAUUAAGCGCCCCGCCUGGGGAGUACGGCCGCAAGGCUAAAACUCAAAGGAAUUGACGGGGGCCCGCACAAGCGGCGGAGCAUGUGGAUUAAUUCGAUGCAACGCGAAGAACCUUACCUGGGUUUGACAUACACCGGAAAACCGUAGAGAUACGGUCCCCCUUGUGGUCGGUGUACAGGUGGUGCAUGGCUGUCGACAACU
RNAcentral lists this ribosomal RNA (287 nucleotides) under uncultured bacterium. RNAcentral describes it as "partial 16S ribosomal RNA". It matches the Rfam family "Bacterial small subunit ribosomal RNA", at positions 773 to 1060 of the family's 1533-position model. The record is from RNAcentral.